This 468-nucleotide ribosomal RNA is filed under the name uncultured bacterium. RNAcentral describes it as "partial 16S ribosomal RNA". It matches the Rfam family "Bacterial small subunit ribosomal RNA", at positions 28 to 507 of the family's 1533-position model. The record is from RNAcentral.
GACGAACGCUGGCGGCGUGCUUAACACAUGCAAGUCGAACGGAAAGGCCCUGCUUUUGUGGGGUGCUCGAGUGGCGAACGGGUGAGUAACACGUGAGUAACCUGCCCUUGACUUUGGGAUAACUUCAGGAAACUGGGGCUAAUACCGGAUAGGAGCUCCUGCUGCAUGGUGGGGGUUGGAAAGUUUCGGCGGUUGGGGAUGGACUCGCGGCUUAUCGGCUUGUUGGUGGGGUAGUGGCUUACCAAGGCUUUGACGGGUAGCCGGCCUGAGAGGGUGACCGGCCACAUUGGGACUGAGCUACGGCCCAGACUCCUACGGGAGGCAGCAGUGGGGAAUAUUGCACAACGGGCGGAAGCAUGAUGCAGCAACGCCGCGUGCGGGAUGACGGCCUUCGGGUUGUAAACCGCUUUCGCCUGUGACGAAGCGUGAGUGACGGUAAUGGGUAAAGAAGCACCGGCUAACUACGUG